AGCGAACGCUGGCGGCAGGCUUAACACAUGCAAGUCGAGCGGGCACUUCGGUGUCAGCGGCAGACGGGUGAGUAACACGUGGGAACGUACCCUUCGGUUCGGAAUAACGCUGGGAAACUAGCGCUAAUACCGGAUACACCCUUUUGGGGAAAGGUUUACUGCCGAAGGAUCGGCCCGCGUCUGAUUAGCUAGUUGGUGGGGUAAUGGCCUACCAAGGCGACGAUCAGUAGCUGGUCUGAGAGGAUGAUCAGCCACACUGGGACUGAGACACGGCCCAGACUCCUACGGGAGGCAGCAGUGGGGAAUAUUGGACAAUGGGCGCAAGCCUGAUCCAGCCAUGCCGCGUGAGUGAUGAAGGCCUUAGGGUUGUAAAGCUCUUUUGUCCGGGACGAUAAUGACGGUACCGGAAGAAUAAGCCCCGGCUAACUUCGUG
RNAcentral lists this ribosomal RNA (433 nucleotides) under uncultured bacterium. RNAcentral's name for it is "partial 16S ribosomal RNA". It matches the Rfam family "Bacterial small subunit ribosomal RNA", at positions 29 to 507 of the family's 1533-position model. The record is from RNAcentral.